UUUUAACCCCGAUUGCAGCGGAAAUCCUUUGCUUUUUUUCUUUAGAAAAGCAAAGAUUAUAGCGAAAAGCGGGGAUAUGG
RNAcentral lists this small RNA (80 nucleotides) under Flavobacterium swingsii. RNAcentral's name for it is "Flavo-1 RNA". It matches the Rfam family "Flavo-1 RNA". The record is from RNAcentral. Lineage: Bacteria; Pseudomonadati; Bacteroidota; Flavobacteriia; Flavobacteriales; Flavobacteriaceae.